RNAcentral lists this ribosomal RNA (443 nucleotides) under uncultured bacterium. RNAcentral's name for it is "bacterial SSU rRNA". It matches the Rfam family "Bacterial small subunit ribosomal RNA", at positions 340 to 774 of the family's 1533-position model. The record is from RNAcentral.
UACGGGAGGCAGCAGUGGGGAAUAUUGCACAAUGGGCGCAAGCCUGAUGCAGCCAUGCCGCGUGUAUGAAGAAGGCCUUCGGGUUGUAAAGUACUUUCAGUCGUGAGGAAGGUGUUAAGGUUAAUAACCUUAGCAAUUGACGUUAGCGACAGAAGAAGCACCGGCUAACUCCGUGCCAGCAGCCGCGGUAAUACGGAGGGUGCGAGCGUUAAUCGGAAUUACUGGGCGUAAAGGGCACGCAGGCGGUUAAUUAAGUUGGAUGUGAAAUCCCCGGGCUUAACCUGGGAAUGGCAUUCAAGACUGGUUAGCUAGAGUCUUGUAGAGGGGGUAGAAUUCCAUGUGUAGCGGUGAAAUGCGUAGAGAUGUGGAGGAAUACCGGUGGCGAAGGCGGCCCCUGGGACAAAGGACUGGACGCUCAUGUGCGAAAGCGUGGGGAGCGAAAC